Molecule: long non-coding RNA, 1730 nt
Filed under: Homo sapiens (human)
Lineage: Eukaryota; Metazoa; Chordata; Mammalia; Primates; Hominidae
Description: non-protein coding lnc-TBCC-1:1
Source: RNAcentral
CGGUUUCACAACUUUAUUAAAAAUAAAUUUAUAAGUAAACAAAUCGUAACUUUAUAGAUUAAAGUUGAUUGGGAUUAAGGAGAACCUGGGUAUAAGAGGAUCUGGUACAGAGAGGUCUCAGGAUCUUUUCCUGAGUGGGAGUACAUACGAGGUAGGGAAGAGAAAACAACAAACCAGAACAAAGUUGCUGCUCCCAGGUCCUCUUUCAUCCUCCACCUUCCCACACAGCAUUCUGACAGCCCCUGAGCUCUCCUCAACUGCACUACAAAAGGGCAGGCCACCCCCAGCACAGUCAAGUCCUGAGCUCCCUCUGCUUGUAGCCAGGCACCAUGUUAGUGAUUUCCACCUCAGGGCUUUCCUUUUAAAAUCCACACCCCACAUGCCUUUGCAGUCAGCUCUCUCACCUCUCCAUACUCAUUUCACUCUUCCCCAACUCCCCCAGCCCACCUUCUGCCAGCUCCUUCACUCACUGUAUUUUCCUCUUCUACUAUACAGAACAUUAUUCAUCAAGCAAGAGCCAUGCCAUGCAGAAACGCAUCUGGUAUGCUACUUAAAUCAUGCCGUUUCACCCGUUUUUCCCCAGAUUUGCUCCUCUCACCUUUAACUCAAAGCUAUCUUUCUCAGUGAAGAAUGUAGACAGCUAUUUUGAAUUCCAUCAUCUACUCCAUUCUUAUUUUCUCUAAUCUCACUUUACGGUUAUUGUUUAGCCUAUUUGGGGAGCAGAGAAAACUCAUGAAAAAGGGAAUGACAGCAGACUCAAAGAGGAAAGAAAGGGGAAAAGAAGGUGGGGGGGGGGUGCUACAUACUUCCAUUUGACAUUAUUUAAAUAAAAAAUGAUUUUCUCGGCAGGAUGCAGUGGCUCACGCCUGUAAUCCCAGCACUUUGGGAGGGAAAGGUGGGAAGACUGCUUGAGCCCAGGAGUUUGAGGCCAGCCUGGGUGACAAAGAGAAACCCCUGUCUCUACAAAAAAAAAAAAAAAAAAAAAAAAAUUAAAUUAUCUGGGCAUGGUGUUGCAUUUCUAUAGUCCCAGCUACUUGGGAGGCUGAGGUUGGGGGAAUCCCUUGAUCCCAGGAGGUCCAGGCUGCAGUGAGCUACAAUUGUACCACUGCACUCCAGGCUGGGUAACAGUGAGAACCUGUCUCAAAAACAAACAAAAAAUGAAACUCAAUGCUUAUUACGUCUAUAGGUGACUUAUGCACCCUCAAGCUUGGUACCAUGAUAAGAAGAGAUACUUUCUCUUUAGUUUCAGUAAUCUGAAAUUUCAUUUCUAAAGCAAUUUUCUUCCAUAUGCAAAUAACACCUCUAUCUGCCACAAAUAUUUAAGUGUUCAUUCUUUUUUUUUUUUUUUUUGAGACAGUCUAGCUAUGUCACCCAGGCUGGAGUGCAGUGGGAAGAUCUCAGCUCACUCCAAUGUCUGCCUUCCAGGUUCAAGCAAUUCUCAUGCCUCAGCCUCCUGAGUAGCUGGGAUUACAGGUGUGUGCCACCAUGCCUGGCUAUUUUCUUUGUAUUUUUAGUAGAGAUGAGUUUUGCCAUGUUGGCCAGGCUGGUUUUGAACUCCUGGCCUCAAACGAUUUGCCUGCCUCAGCCUCCCAAAGUGCUGGGAUUGUAGGUGUGAGCCAUGGGCCCAGCCUAAUUCAUUUUUUACUAUGGUAAAAUAUAUGUAAGAUUUACAAUUUUAACCAUUUUUUUCCAGGAUUGGGAAAACCCUUUAUUUCUCUAUAGAGUUACUG